UUUAAUGAGCAUUGUAAUAAUAUUUUUUUUUUGUUAUCCUUUAGAUUUCCAUUGGUGAAAAAUGAGUUCGUGUGCUUUCUCAUGUGAAAUUUGUGCUAUCGGAGGAAUUAAUGUACCUAGACCUUCGUAUAUUUAAUUGAAUGUUCGAAGGAUGAACACGUGAGCUGAAACAAAAUUAACGGCGGACAAGGGUGAACUAGCCAAAAAUUAUUUCAACCUGCAUCAAAAAAGUAACCUCUUCUAUUAUCUGACCAUGUCCAUUUAUCAAUAUUUCAGAUGACGUUAAAAUAUCCAUCUCAGCUCUUAUACUAUUACACUCAAACCUUCAUCCAACACUCCAAAAUAUCGAUCCGAAAAUUUCCAGAAAUGUCGCUAAUAUUUGGGGAAAACAGUUAAUGCAUAUAGGAAGCAUAUGAGUUGAAAGAAAUUGUACCUACAAAUUAAUCCUUGUAAAUAUUUCCAUUGGUGAAAAAUGAGUUCGCGUGCUUUCUCAUGUGAAAUUUGUGCUAUCGGAGGAAUUAAUGUACCUAGACCUUCGUAUAUUUAAUUGAAUGUUCGAAGGAUGAACACGUGAGCUGAAACAAAAUUAACGGCGGACAAGGAUGACGUUAAAAUAUCCAUCUCAGCUCUUAUACUAUUACACUCAAACCUUCAUCCAACACUCCAAAAUAUCGAUCCGAAAAUUUCCAGAAAUGUCGCUAAUAUUUGGGGAAAACAGUUAAUGCAUAUAGGAAGCAUAUGAGUUGAAAGAAAUUGUACCUACAAAUUAAUCCUUGUAAAUGUUUUCAUGGGCGAAGGAUGAGUUCCUGUGCUUUUUUGGGUGACGUUUACGCUAUUGAGGUAGUAACCUGUAUAAAAUCUUUGAAACGUUGAAAUCUCGUGUCCAGAUUCUAUACUACUAUACUUAAACCCUCAUCUAACACUCCAGAACAUCGAUUCGAAAAUUUUUAGAAAAGUCGCGAAUCCUUGUGGGAUGCAGUUAAUGCCCUGAAAUAUUCAAACAUUGUUUAAUGGGCCAAUAUUGCUUACGUAUCAGAGAACCUACCGUGCGUAUACCUAGAAGGUUUCCACGGCAGAUAAACGAGUUCCUGCAGGUUUUGGCUAGAAGUGUCGGAGCGUAUGACACUGGAUCGUCAUUACAUUCGCCGUGAAGACCGCCUAACGUGCAAUACUAACCACUAGGAGCAACACUUACUAAAUGCGCACCGUAAUAACACCGUCGAUCGGAUCCUACGAGCUCAUAAUAAUACAAACACCGUUUUUCUUGUCCGCACGAUACAAAAAGCAGCGGUUCUGUCUAUGCAUUUAGUAGUAUCCGGGAAAAACACCGAAUCGAUUGCAAGUUCGUCUGGUCUGGUCGAAAUUUUUCCGCGGUUUCCUUCGAUUACACUGCACAGCAUAGAGUUUCGUUAUCAUAGAGGUAGCCAGUAACAUGUGAAUGCUUGUUUCAUUACAAGGGACUUCUACGCAGCGUUCUUUCUCAAUCCUGAUAUCCUAGUAGAGCAUGGAUUAAAUGGGGGUGGCGCUCUCUAUUUCUAUAUGUUCCUGACAUCAACGACGCAGUAGCGUUCCAAACGUUCGCUAAAGAAACGACGACUCCUGCGUCACACUGGAGCAACUGGAGCUAUUUGACACACACAAUUACUAGCCGUCGCCUACUUCGACGAAUCCGAUUAUUAUUGUUAUUAGUUUGUU
RNAcentral lists this long non-coding RNA (1695 nucleotides) under Agrilus planipennis (emerald ash borer). RNAcentral's name for it is "uncharacterized LOC108739785, transcript variant X1". Lineage: Eukaryota; Metazoa; Arthropoda; Insecta; Coleoptera; Buprestidae. The record is from RNAcentral.